UAUUUAAGUAACGGGCAAAGUGAACUUUCUCCGCAGGACCUUGUACCUUACGGAGCUGUGGAGGACAAAAGAGAUCAGACCGAGCUAUAACCAGGACAUGAAGUGUUUGCUGGAUUAAGGGGAACAGUGGGCUGACUCACUGAGGGCUGAACAGGUUCUUGUGGGACGGUAACCUUUCACCAAUAGACACCAAUCAAUACUGGUGACCAUUGAGGUUCACACGCAACUUACUUACCUGGACCUUGUACCUUACGGAGCUGUGGAGGACAAAAGAGAUCAGACCGAGCUUUUACCAGGACAUGAAGUGUUUGCUGGAUUAAGGGGAACAGUGGGCUGACUCACUGAGGGCUGAACAGGUUCUUGUGGGACGGUAACCUUUCACCAAUAGACACCAAUCAAUACUUGUGACCAUUGAGGUUCACACGCAACUGACUUACCUGGACCUUGUACCUUACGGAGCUGUGGAGGACAAAAGAGAUCAGACCGAGCUAUAACCAGGACAUGAAGUGUUUGCUGGAUUAAGGGGAACAGUGGGCUGACUCACUGAGGGCUGAACAGGUUCUUGUGGGACGGUAACCUUUCACCAAUAGACACCAAUCAAUACUGGUGACCAUUGAGGUUCACACGCAACUUACUUACCUGGACCUUGUACCUUACGGAGCUGUGGAGGACAAAAGAGAUCAGACCGAGCUAUAACCAGGACAUGAAGUGUUUGCUGGAUUAAGGGGAACAGUGGGCUGACUCACUGAGGGCUGAACAGGUUCUUGUGGGACGGUAACCUUUCACCAAUAGACACCAAUCAAUACUGGUGACCAUUGAGGUUCACACGCAACUUACUUACCUGGACCUUGUACCUUACGGAGCUGUGGAGGACAAAAGAGAUCAGACCGAGCUAUAACCAGGACAUGAAGUGUUUGCUGGAUUAAGGGGAACAGUGGGCUGACUCACUGAGGGCUGAACAGGUUCUUGUGGGACGGUAACCUUUCACCAAUAGACACCAAUCAAUACUGGUGACCAUUGAGGUUCACACGCAACUUACUUACCUGGACCUUGUACCUUACGGAGCUGUGGAGGACAAAAGAGAUCAGACCGAGCUAUAACCAGGACAUGAAGUGUUUGCUGGAUUAAGGGGAACAGUGGGCUGACUCACUGAGGGCUGAACAGGUUCUUGUGGGACGGUAACCUUUCACCAAUAGACACCAAUCAAUACUGGUGACCAUUGAGGUUCACACGCAACUUACUUACCUGGACCUUGUACCUUACGGAGCUGUGGAGGACAAAAGAGAUCAGACCGAGCUAUAACCAGGACAUGAAGUGUUUGCUGGAUUAAGGGGAACAGUGGGCUGACUCACUGAGGGCUGAACAGGUUCUUGUGGGACGGUAACCUUUCACCAAUAGACACCAAUCAAUACUGGUGACCAUUGAGGUUCACACGCAACUUACUUACCUGGACCUUGUACCUUACGGAGCUGUGGAGGACAAAAGAGAUCAGACCGAGCUAUAACCAGGACAUGAAGUGUUUGCUGGAUUAAGGGGAACAGUGGGCUGACUCACUGAGGGCUGAACAGGUUCUUGUGGGACGGUAACCUUUCACCAAUAGACACCAAUCAAUACUGGUGACCAUUGAGGUUCACACGCAACUUACUUACCUGGACCUUGUACCUUACGGAGCUGUGGAGGACAAAAGAGAUCAGACCGAGCUAUAACCAGGACAUGAAGUGUUUGCUGGAUUAAGGGGAACAGUGGGCUGACUCACUGAGGGCUGAACAGGUUCUUGUGGGACGGUAACCUUUCACCAAUAGACACCAAUCAAUACUGGUGACCAUUGAGGUUCACACGCAACUUACUUACCUGGACCUUGUACCUUACGGAGCUGUGGAGGACAAAAGAGAUCAGACCGAGCUAUAACCAGGACAUGAAGUGUUUGCUGGAUUAAGGGGAACAGUGGGCUGACUCACUGAGGGCUGAACAGGUUCUUGUGGGACGGUAACCUUUCACCAAUAGACACCAAUCAAUACUGGUGACCAUUGAGGUUCACACGCAACUUACUUACCUGGACCUUGUACCUUACGGAGCUGUGGAGGACAAAAGAGAUCAGACCGAGCUAUAACCAGGACAUGAAGUGUUUGCUGGAUUAAGGGGAACAGUGGGCUGACUCACUGAGGGCUGAACAGGUUCUUGUGGGACGGUAACCUUUCACCAAUAGACACCAAUCAAUACUGGUGACCAUUGAGGUUCACACGCAACUUACUUACCUGGACCUUGUACCUUACGGAGCUGUGGAGGACAAAAGAGAUCAGACCGAGCUAUAACCAGGACAUGAAGUGUUUGCUGGAUUAAGGGGAACAGUGGGCUGACUCACUGAGGGCUGAACAGGUUCUUGUGGGACGGUAACCUUUCACCAAUAGACACCAAUCAAUACUGGUGACCAUUGAGGUUCACACGCAACUUACUUACCUGGACCUUGUACCUUACGGAGCUGUGGAGGACAAAAGAGAUCAGACCGAGCUAUAACCAGGACAUGAAGUGUUUGCUGGAUUAAGGGGAACAGUGGGCUGACUCACUGAGGGCUGAACAGGUUCUUGUGGGACGGUAACCUUUCACCAAUAGACACCAA
Long non-coding RNA from Callorhinchus milii (elephant shark), 2617 nucleotides. RefSeq lists it as uncharacterized. The record is from RefSeq and is a predicted model, not a curated record. The transcript has 26 exons. Lineage: Eukaryota; Metazoa; Chordata; Chondrichthyes; Chimaeriformes; Callorhinchidae.